This 234-nucleotide ribosomal RNA is filed under the name uncultured bacterium. Its description in RNAcentral is "partial 16S ribosomal RNA". It matches the Rfam family "Bacterial small subunit ribosomal RNA", at positions 335 to 561 of the family's 1533-position model. The record is from RNAcentral.
ACUCCUACGGGAGGCAGCAGUGGGGAAUAUUGCACAAUGGGCGCAAGCCUGAUGCAGCCAUGCCGCGUGUAUGAAGAAGGCCUUCGGGUUGUAAAGUACUUUCAGCAGUGAGGAAGGGUGGUAUGUUAAUAGCAUACUUCAUUGACUGUAGCUGCAGAAGAAGCACCGGCUAACUCCGUGCCAGCAGCCGCGGUAAUACGGAGGGUGCGAGCGUUAAUCGGAAUUACUGGGCGU